RNAcentral lists this ribosomal RNA (253 nucleotides) under uncultured bacterium. RNAcentral's name for it is "partial 16S ribosomal RNA". It matches the Rfam family "Bacterial small subunit ribosomal RNA", at positions 524 to 776 of the family's 1533-position model. The record is from RNAcentral.
UACGGAGGGUGCAAGCGUUGUUCGGAAUCAUUGGGCGUAAAGCGCGUGUAGGCGGCUUGGCAAGUCAGUUGUGAAAGCCCGGGGCCCAACCCCGGAACUGCAUCUGAAACUGCCUAGCUAGAGUCCCGGAGAGGAAGGCAGAAUUCCCGGUGUAGUGGUGAAAUGCGUAGAUAUCGGGAGGAACACCAGUGGCGAAGGCGACUACCUGGCCCACUCUUGACGCUGAGGCGCGAAAGCUAGGGGAGCGAACGGG